GUUGCUGCUUACGCAGAGGAAAGUCCGGACUUCUAAGGGGAGGACGCCAGGUAAUGCCUGGGAGGCGAGAGCCUAUGGAAAGUGCCACAGAAAAUAUACCGCUAAGAUAGCAAGGGUGAAAAGGUGUGGUAAGAGCACACCGCAUAAUUAGCAAUAGUUAUGGCAAGGUAAACCCCGUCUGAAGCAAGGUCAAAUAGAAGGAUUAUGAUAUGCCCCUUUAUCGUCCUUGGGUAGACCGCAUGAGCCAGAUAGUGAUAUCUGGCCUAGAUUAAUAACUAUACAAGACAGAAUCCGGCUUAUAGGUUAACUCCCUAA
Molecule: RNase P RNA, 315 nt
Filed under: Pseudomonadota bacterium
Lineage: Bacteria; Pseudomonadati; Pseudomonadota
Description: Proteobacteria bacterium (freshwater metagenome) partial RNase P RNA component class A
Rfam family: Bacterial RNase P class A
About the family: Ribonuclease P (RNase P) is a ubiquitous endoribonuclease, found in archaea, bacteria and eukarya as well as chloroplasts and mitochondria. Its best characterised activity is the generation of mature 5'-ends of tRNAs by cleaving the 5'-leader elements of precursor-tRNAs. Cellular RNase Ps are ribonucleoproteins.
Source: RNAcentral